Molecule: long non-coding RNA, 706 nt
Filed under: Cicer arietinum (chickpea)
Lineage: Eukaryota; Viridiplantae; Streptophyta; Magnoliopsida; Fabales; Fabaceae
Description: long non-coding RNA (CARI_LNC002819)
Source: RNAcentral
GUAAUUUAAAAAAUACAAUUACUUAUUUUAUUAUAUUGAGAAACAUUAAAUGAGAGUAACUACUUUUCUUAAUAAGUCGGAAAGUUUUUUUCUUAUGAGACUGGAGGGAGUAUAUCUCUAAAAUUACCAAAAUCACUUUGGCUUGAAGUGUGGGAAAAGCAUGAGCCACAAGCAUAUUUUGAAAUUGUAGUUUAGUUAUGAGAAUGCAAGUGGCAAGAUUAAACUCCUGACUAUGGAAGAGAGGCAAGGAUUGAACUCAUAACCACUUGGUUAGAGAAGCCUUCAGACGAUUCCAAAGACCAAAUGUCCCAAAAGCCAAGGCUAAAGAGUGCUUCAUAUAUGUUUACAAUUGCUAAAGCAGAAUUGCUUUCCUUUUUUGUUUUAAAAAAUGUAUUGUCUAAUUAUAAAAUGUGUAGUAGAAAAUACAUCAAGUACUUGAAGAUUAAGAUUCAGACCUUGUAGCAUUCCAUUUUGAUUAUAACGGCAAUAAAUAUAAAUUAUAAUGGUAGAAACUCCUGUCUAAGAUUGCCACCCAUUUCCAUCCUCCAUGAUUGAUCAACUAAACUUGCAAACUCUCUGAAAUGCACAUAGGAAGCUCAAUAAGUAAAUUUAUCAAUUCACUAAUUACUACAGGAUAUAAAAAGUGAAACCAAAACUUCCUUUACAAUAUAAAUGAGGAAUUGAGUAAUGGAAGAAUGUAUUUUGC